This is a transfer RNA of Subdoligranulum variabile DSM 15176, 74 nucleotides long. It matches the Rfam family "tRNA". From Rfam's summary of the family: Transfer RNA (tRNA) molecules are approximately 80 nucleotides in length. NCBI's taxonomy places the organism in Bacteria, Bacillati, Bacillota, Clostridia, Eubacteriales, Oscillospiraceae. The record is from Rfam.
GCGGUCGUAGCUCAGCUGGAUAGAGCGUUGGACUCCGACUCCAAAGGCCAGAGGUUCGAAUCCCCCCGGCCGCA